RNAcentral lists this ribosomal RNA (250 nucleotides) under uncultured bacterium. RNAcentral describes it as "partial 16S ribosomal RNA". It matches the Rfam family "Bacterial small subunit ribosomal RNA", at positions 57 to 305 of the family's 1533-position model. The record is from RNAcentral.
GCAAGUCGAACGGUAACAGCGAGAGCUUGCUCUCGGCUGACGAGUGGCGGACGGGUGCGUAACGCGUGGGAACUUACCUUGUAGUGGGGGAUAGCCCGGAGAAAUCCGGAUUAAUACCGCAUAAUCUCUACGGAGCAAAGUGGGGGAUCUUCGGACCUCACGCUAUUAGAUAGGCCCGCGUUAGAUUAGCUUGUUGGUGAGGUAAUGGCUCACCAAGGCAACGAUCUAUAGCUGGUUUGAGAGGAUGAUC